This 2605-nucleotide long non-coding RNA is filed under the name Mytilus galloprovincialis (Mediterranean mussel). The record is from RNAcentral. Lineage: Eukaryota; Metazoa; Mollusca; Bivalvia; Mytilida; Mytilidae.
UGUGUACUGAGUUUCAAGUUGAUUGGACUUCAACUUCACCAAAAACUACCUUGACCAAAAACUUUAACCUGAAACUUGCACUAUCAUUUUCUGUGUUCAAUGGACCGUGAAAUUGGGGUCAAAACUCUAAUUUGGCAUUGAAAGAAAGAUCAUAUCAUAGGCAACAUGUGUACUAAGUUUCAAGUUGAUUGGACUUCAACUUCAUCAAAAACUACCUUGACCAAAAACUUUAACCUGAAGCGGGACAGAAGGACAAACUGACGGACGAACGGACAGAGGAACGAAUGAACAGACAGAAGCACAGACCAGAAAACAUAAUGACCCUCUAUUAUCAUAGGUGGGGCAUAAAAAAUAAGAAAACAAGUACUUCAAUGGUUAACAAUUUAUUUAUAACAGAUAUUGCAAAUAACAAUUGUGCCACCACUCUUCCAAAUGUCAAUAAUGGCAUCAUGUACAAUAAUGCUGUCUUAUAAAUAUCAUCUACAAAUAACAUGUAAUAAACUCAGAAUCAAUGAAGAACAAUUAGCAUUUAAAGUGAAUAAAACUAUAUAAUAGUCAUUUAAUUUUCAAUGAUAAAAUGAUGAAGCUACAAGUCUUUAGUGGUGGGAUGAGUGUUCCGUAUGUUAUAGUUAAUACAAAUAAUUUUAUAAAAUCAUAAAACUUUUGAAUGUUCUUAAUCUUAUCAAAACUUUAAAACUAUUUUUGUUGCUUUCAAAAUUCAAUCUCUGCUACAAUAAAAUGUUGUAACAAACAAAUAUUUUAAAAGUGACUGUAAAUGUUUGAUACUUUUACUAAUAAUAUGAGAAAAUUAAAAUUUAUUGAAAAAUAACCCCUAAAACUAAAUUGGGCUAUAAAAAACAUCUUACAUACAGUCAGAAAAUAUUUCACUUAAAGUGACACAUCAAAUAUGUAAACAAUUUCUCUUGACACACUAUUAUAACUUAUAUAUAUAAUUCCUGAUUAUAUGAGUUAAUAGUUUAAAGUAUAUUUUUUGCAGGAUGAUUUACGCCUUUUACAUCAUUUCAAAACCCAAUGUACAUGUCAAGAUUCACGUAAAAGACUGAAAUACAUCAUUUCUAUGAUGAAGAAUGGUAAAAUACCUUAUGUAGGUACAGCAGGGAAAACGCCAUCAAGCAUAAAUGAUAAUCCAAUAUUUAAGUUUUUAAAUUACUUUAACAAAAAAACAUAAGGAUAUGUAGUGUAAUUACCAAUGAGACAAUACUCUUUUCAAAAUAAAAUUUAAAAAAAAAAACAGAAAGGAAGAAAUAAACCUUGAUGUAUAUCGUAAACACCAUACCUAUGCCCAAUGAAUCUUCAACAGUGUAACCAAUACCAUAAGCUCUAAAAGGUUCUGACUGACCAAAAACUAUAUUUUAAUAUAGGAUUAAUUAUCUGUUAGUAAAGUUAAAUUUAUCUUAACUUGAAACUAGAGGCUCUUAAGAGCCUGUGUCGCUCACCUUGGUCUAUGUGCAUACAUGUAUUAAACAAAGGACACAGAUGGAUUCAUGACAAAAUUGUGUUUUGAUGAUGGUGAUGUGUUUGUAGAUCUUACUUUACUGAACAUUCUUGCUACUUACAAUUUUCUCUAUCUAUAAUAAACUUGGCCCUUUAGUUACAGAGGAAAAUAUUUUGUAAAAAUUUACAAAAAUUUACCAAAUUAAUGAAAAUUGUUAAAAAUUGACUAUAAAGGGCAAUAACUCCUUAAGGGGUCAACUGCCACUUUGGUCAUGUUGACUUAUUUGUAGAUCUUACUUUGCUGAACAUUAUUGCUGUUUACAGUUUAUCUCUAUCUAUAAUAGUAUUCAAGAUAAUAACCCAAAACGGCAAAAUUUCUUUAAAAAUUACCAAUUGGGGGCAGCAACCCAACAACCUGUUGUCCAAUUCUCCUGAAAAUAUUCAGGGCAGAUAGAUCUUAACUUGACAAUCAGUUUUUAAACCCUUGAUAGAUUUGCUCUAAAUGCUUUGGUUUCAGAGUUAUAAGCCAAAAUCUACAUUUUACCCCUAUCUUCUAUUUUUAGCCAUGGUCGCCAUCUUGGUUGGUUGGCUGGGUCACUGCACACAUUUUUAAACAAGAUACCCUAAUAAUGAUUGUGGCCAAGUUUGGUUAAAUUGGCCCAGUAGUUUCAGAGGAGAAGAUUUUGUAAAAGAUUACAAAAGUUUAUGAAAAAUUGGUAAAAAAUGACUAUAAAGGGCAAUAACUCCUUAAGAGGUCAACUGACCAUUUUGGUCAUGUCGACUUAUUUGUAGAUCUUACUUUGCUGAACAUUAUUGAUGUUUACAGUUUAUCUCUAUCUAUAAUAGUAUUCAAGAUAAUAACCAAUCAAAGUGAUGGAUAUCACUGAUGGAAAGAUUAGAAGAGUAGUUUGAAUUAUUUCAUAUUAAGGUAUGGUGGGGGAAAUGAACAUUUAUAAAGCACUAUUGCUGAAAAUUGCAUUAACAGCAGGUCUUUAGAAGGAAACUUGCUUUUCCAGUAUGAGGAUAAAAUGAGCUCGAAUUAAAUGAUAAGGGUCUCUUAAUUUGCACAAUUUUAUUUAAACUGCAGUUUAUAUAUAUCUUAUCCAAAUAAUGUUGCCUGUUCUGAACAUGUUUCAAAAAAACAAAAAAA